UAGAUUAUAUUUUGUGAUAGUAUGGACCACCUAACUCUUUGUGAGAACUGACAUUUCUCUAGCCUUCAACCACCUUUUCACCAUCUUUCGUCCUUAUCCUCUCUCAACCCAACUGUUCCUCCUUCAAUAUAGUUUUGAUGAUGGUGGUGCAUCAAGCUCCCACAACCGGUGACACUAUCGUUCAACCAAUUAUUUCUCAUGCUUGAAUUUAAACUCGAAAAGGUCAGGGUUUCGCCUGCAUUAACCUCAUGGUUAUUCUUGUUUGCAUCAUUCGCGUGGAUUUGGAUUAUUGUCGUUGUUUUUUGUUUUUCUUAAUGUUGUUUAGAUCUUGAUCUCUUCAUUGUCAGUUUAUUCUAUCAACAUGCUAGCUUCUCCUUUCUUCCGAUUCGAAGUAGACAUUUUUUUCUUUUGAUUUCAAGUCUGUUAAGAUCUACAUGUUUCAAGAUUUAAGAUUUGUCAUCACAUAAUUAAUGGAUUUUUAGUUGGUUAGGUGGUGGUCCUGGUUCGUGGAGUGGAUUAUGGUUUUAUUUGCAUUCAAUGUUAGUCGUAUUAAAAAUCAUAUAAAUUCUUAGAGAUUAGGUUUGGUUUACUUGGAUAGAAAUGAUUGUAAAUUUACUAUUGUUUGUCACAGUAAAUUAUUAUGUGUGGGAUCAUUCCCGUGUUGGCGGUUGAUUCUUUUACUAUAAUCAAUACAUGGAAUUUUUGGACAAGAAAGCUUUGGAAUGCAUAAUCAUAAUUUGGAAGAAGUGUUGAAUGCAAUUUGGAGGCCUAAUUUUGAAGAAUAUCACUUGGAAGACUAUUUGGGUGAAGCUUGCAAGGCAAGGAAGCUGAAGUAGCUUCAGUUCGCGCCGUGAACUCCCUUCGCGCCACGAAGCUUGCGAAUCCAGCAAGCUGUUUUGGCCAAGUGUGUUGUUUUCAAGGCCAGCUGUGUUUUGCCAUUUUGGUGUCUAUCUUAGGGGGGCUUUUCAGCUUUAGAUGAAAAUGAUCAUUUUAGGAAAUGUCAACCCUUUUUAUAAAAUCAGAAUGGAAAUUAUUCAUUCAUUCAUAGAUUCAUAGACGAAUUUCAUUGAUAGCUUGAUUUUUUGUAAGAGAGAAAAACAGAGUUUAUUUCUUCAUUGCCUUGUGCUUUCCAAAGAUGAUGAUGAGGAGCUAAACCCCAUUUUGUCAA
Long non-coding RNA from Lathyrus oleraceus (garden pea), 1168 nucleotides. RefSeq lists it as uncharacterized. NCBI's taxonomy places the organism in Eukaryota, Viridiplantae, Streptophyta, Magnoliopsida, Fabales, Fabaceae. The transcript is spliced from 2 exons. The record is from RefSeq and is a predicted model, not a curated record.